This is a ribosomal RNA of Protobothrops mucrosquamatus (brown spotted pit viper), 119 nucleotides long. NCBI's taxonomy places the organism in Eukaryota, Metazoa, Chordata, Lepidosauria, Squamata, Viperidae. The record is from RefSeq and is a predicted model, not a curated record.
GUCUACGGCCAUACUACCCUGAACGUGCCAGAUCCCGUCUGAUCUCGGAAGCUAAGCAGGGUCAGGCCUGGUUAGUACUUGGAUUGGAGACCGCCUGGGAAUACCGGGUGCUGUAGGCU